Molecule: unclassified non-coding RNA, 347 nt
Filed under: soil metagenome
Description: partial contains 5.8S ribosomal RNA, internal transcribed spacer 2, and large subunit ribosomal RNA
Rfam family: 5.8S ribosomal RNA (bases 1-120)
Source: RNAcentral
GAUGAAGAACGUAGCGAAAUGCGAUAAGUAAUGUGAAUUGCAGAAUUCAGUGAAUCAUCGAAUCUUUGAACGCACAUUGCGCCCGCCAGUAUUCUGGCGGGCAUGCCUGUCUGAGCGUCAUUUCAACCCUCAUGCCCCUAGGGCGUGGUGUUGGGGAUCGGCCAAAGCCCGCGAGGGACGGCCGGCCCCUAAAUCUAGUGGCGGACCCGUCGUGGCCUCCUCUGCGAAGUAGUGAUAUUCCGCAUCGGAGAGCGAUGAGCCCCUGCCGUUAAACCCCCAACUUUCCAAGGUUGACCUCUGAUCAGGUAGGAAUACCCGCUGAACUUAAGCAUAUCAAUAAGCGAGGA